RNAcentral lists this ribosomal RNA (429 nucleotides) under Gemmatimonadota bacterium. RNAcentral's name for it is "Gemmatimonadetes bacterium partial 16S ribosomal RNA". It matches the Rfam family "Bacterial small subunit ribosomal RNA", at positions 355 to 776 of the family's 1533-position model. The record is from RNAcentral. Lineage: Bacteria; Pseudomonadati; Gemmatimonadota.
UAGGGAAUCUUCGGCAAUGGACGAAAGUCUGACCGAGCAACGCCGCGUGAGUGAAGAAGGUUUUCGGAUCGUAAAACUCUGUUGUUAGAGAAGAACAAGGACGUUAGUAACUGAACGUCCCCUGACGGUAUCUAACCAGAGAGCCACGGCUAACUACGUGCCAGCAGCCGCGGUAAUACGUAGGUGGCAAGCGUUGUCCGGAUUUAUUGGGCGUAAAGCGAGCGCAGGCGGUUUCUUAAGUCUGAUGUGAAAGCCCCCGGCUCAACCGGGGAGGGUCAUUGGAAACUGGGAGACUUGAGUGCAGAAGAGGAGAGUGGAAUUCCAUGUGUAGCGGUGAAAUGCGUAGAUAUAUGGAGGAGCACCAGUGGCGAAGGCGGCUCUCUGGUCUGUAACUGACGCUGAGGCUCGAAAGCGUGGGGAGCAAACAGG